AUAAAGUAGACAUGUUACUGAGUCCAAACUUGCUCUGCUUGCUGUAUGACAGGCCAGUGAAUCGGGAGAUGAGGUGUUGGGGCAAGGAAUAAUGGCUUUAUUUGAAAAGCUGCAGACC
Vicugna pacos (alpaca) is the source of this 118-nucleotide non-coding RNA. The record is from RefSeq and is a predicted model, not a curated record. Lineage: Eukaryota; Metazoa; Chordata; Mammalia; Artiodactyla; Camelidae.